This 87-nucleotide transfer RNA is filed under the name bioreactor metagenome. RNAcentral describes it as "tRNA-Leu". It matches the Rfam family "tRNA". Rfam says of the family: Transfer RNA (tRNA) molecules are approximately 80 nucleotides in length. The record is from RNAcentral.
GCUGGUGUGGCGAAAUCGGCAGACGCAAGGGACUUAAAAUCCCUCGGUAGAAAUACCGUACCGGUUCGAGUCCGAUCACCAGCACCA